GCGGGCGUGGCGGAAUGGUAGACGCGCCAGCCUUAGGAGCUGGUAGGGUUAUCCCUGUGGAGGUUCAAAUCCUCUCGCCCGCACCA
Molecule: transfer RNA, 86 nt
Filed under: Thermoleophilia bacterium
Lineage: Bacteria; Bacillati; Actinomycetota; Thermoleophilia
Description: tRNA-Leu
Rfam family: tRNA
About the family: Transfer RNA (tRNA) molecules are approximately 80 nucleotides in length. Their secondary structure includes four short double-helical elements and three loops (D, anti-codon, and T loops).
Source: RNAcentral